GACUAGGAAGUGAGAGAGAUCAGAAGGCCUUGACAUGGAAACGUAUCCCAGAGACGUGGUGAGACAUUGGAGGGACAGCAAAACAGAAUGAGAAAGAGUCUGGGCAUUAUAUACACUGGAGCCAAGGAUUUUCUAAAGCAGCACAGCACCAUACUGGAAGUUCAUGACCGUGCCAUGAUUAUGAACUAAAAAUCAUAAAUACCCAACUCAUUUGAUUUACAAAACUUCAAGGCAAAAAUGAAGAAAACUGGGUAAAAAGAAUAAGGAUUCAGAUUUUAGUCAUAACCAUGCAAAGGUAAAAUAGGUUAUCUCCAGUACCCGUUGCUGUUUCCAGUUAGAACCAUGCAAAGAUAAUUCCAGAGUGGUGAAAGAGGCCUGUCUGUGAGAAAGCAGAGGACUUUGGGGGCCAGUUCUCCACUAGCAACACGUGCUGAUUUGGGAGAAAAGGGUGGAGCCCAAGUAAUGCCAGAUGCACAAACAGAACAAAGAAGGAGGCUAUGAACUGACCAGCAAAGUAUUCUGUGAGAG
Jaculus jaculus (lesser Egyptian jerboa) is the source of this 528-nucleotide long non-coding RNA. RefSeq lists it as uncharacterized. The record is from RefSeq and is a predicted model, not a curated record. Lineage: Eukaryota; Metazoa; Chordata; Mammalia; Rodentia; Dipodidae. The transcript is spliced from 3 exons.